UACAAAGGCAAUAAACACCUUAAUGCUUUCAUCUUUGUUUUCUCUAGGAAAUGACUUAAGAAGAAAACCCUCUAACAGUGAUCUCAGCAUUCAUACAGCAGUGAACUUCAGAUACAGUAAUUGCAUCGCUGAGAGCUAUGACGACUUUCCCAUGGGGGAGAAAUGACCUGGUAAUUCACGAAUGACAAAGUCAAAAGUAAGGGGAAUGACCUUUACUCCACUCGUGAAAAUGUGCAGACAUCACAUCAAGAAAAUGCUCAUAUUAGUCCCAUGUCUCUUUCCAAGACAGUCUAAUUAAACUUCACAUCCAGAAAGUACAUGGAGGAAUUAUUUUUACUCGGGCAAUUGAACCUCAAAAUAAAAAAAUGAACUCUAUUAAAAAAAAAUUCUAC
RNAcentral lists this long non-coding RNA (392 nucleotides) under Lonchura striata (white-rumped munia). RNAcentral describes it as "domestica (Bengalese finch) lncRNA (ENSLSDG00000002853.1)". The record is from RNAcentral. Lineage: Eukaryota; Metazoa; Chordata; Aves; Passeriformes; Estrildidae.